This 94-nucleotide small RNA is filed under the name Flavobacterium araucananum. Its description in RNAcentral is "Flavo-1 RNA". The record is from RNAcentral. Lineage: Bacteria; Pseudomonadati; Bacteroidota; Flavobacteriia; Flavobacteriales; Flavobacteriaceae.
UCAUAGCCCUGUCCCGAUGCUAUUGGGAGAAGCAAAAAUCUUAUUGUAAUUGUAUUGAAACCGCAAUAGAUAGAAGCAAACCGCAGGAUUAGCU